This 389-nucleotide ribosomal RNA is filed under the name Phaeocystis sp. RNAcentral's name for it is "partial small subunit ribosomal RNA". It matches the Rfam family "Eukaryotic small subunit ribosomal RNA", at positions 582 to 975 of the family's 1831-position model. The record is from RNAcentral. Lineage: Eukaryota; Haptophyta; Phaeocystales; Phaeocystaceae.
AUUCCAGCUCCAAUAGCGUAUAUUAAAGUUGUUGCAGUUAAAAAGCUCGUAGUCGGAUUUCGGGUCGGGCCGAGCGGUCUGCCGAUGGGUAUGCACUGUUUGGCGCGGCCUUCUUUCCGGAGACCGCGGCUACUCUUAACUGAGUGGGCGUGGGAGACGGAUCGUUUACUUUGAAAAAAUCAGAGUGUUUCUAGCAGGCAGCUCGCUCUUGCAUAGGUUAGCAUGGGAUAAUUUAAUAGGACUCUGGUGCUAUUUUGUUGGUUUCGAACACCGGAGUAAUGAUUAAAAGGGGCAGUCAGGGGCACUCGUAUUCCGUCGAGAGAGGUGAAAUUCUCAGACCAAUGGAAGACGAACCACUGCGAAAGCAUUUGCCAGGGAUGUUUUCAUCA